UACGAAGGGGGCUAGCGUUGCUCGGAAUCACUGGGCGUAAAGCGCACGUAGGCGGACUCUUAAGUCGGUGGUGAAAUCCUGGAGCUCAACUCCAGAACUGCCUUCGAUACUGGGUAUCUGGAGUAUGGAAGAGGUGAGUGGAAUUCCGAGUGUAGAGGUGAAAUUCGUAGAUAUUCGGAGGAACACCAGUGGCGAAGGCGGCUCACUGGUCCAUUACUGACGCUGAGGUGCGAAAAGCGUGGGGGAGCAAACAGGG
RNAcentral lists this ribosomal RNA (256 nucleotides) under uncultured bacterium. RNAcentral describes it as "partial 16S ribosomal RNA". It matches the Rfam family "Bacterial small subunit ribosomal RNA", at positions 524 to 777 of the family's 1533-position model. The record is from RNAcentral.